GAUGAACGCUGGCGGCGUGCCUAAUACAUGCAAGUCGAGCGAACAGACGAGGAGCUUGCUCCUCUGACGUUAGCGGCGGAAGGGUGAGUAACACGUGGAUAACCUACCUAUAAGACUGGGAUAACUUCGGGAAACCGGAGCUAAUACCGGAUAAUAUAUUGAACCGCAUGGUUCAAUAGUGAAAGACGGUUUUGCUGUCUCUUAUAGAUGGAUCCGCGCCGCAUUAGCUAGUUGGUAAGGUAACGGCUUACCAAGGCAACGAUGCGUAGCCGACCUGAGAGGGUGAUCGGCCACACUGGAACUGAGACACGGUCCAGACUCCUACGGGAGGCAGCAGUAGGGAACCUUCCGCAAUGGGCGAAAGCUGGCCGGAGCAACGCCGCGUGAUUGAUGAAGGUCUUCGGAUCGUAAACCUUUGUUAUUAGGGAAGAACAAAUGUGUAAGUAACUAUGCACGUCUUGACGGUACCUAAUCAGAAAGCCACGGCUAACUACGUG
RNAcentral lists this ribosomal RNA (497 nucleotides) under uncultured bacterium. Its description in RNAcentral is "partial 16S ribosomal RNA". It matches the Rfam family "Bacterial small subunit ribosomal RNA", at positions 28 to 507 of the family's 1533-position model. The record is from RNAcentral.